GUUUAGCUAAUUUUCAUUUUAUAAAUACACCUUUCUUUCCCCUUCACUUUGCCCUCAUUCCUUGCUAUUAUAUUAACAAGUCCAUUGCAAUUAUCCCUUCCCCCACACUCAUAGCUCAUCAUCAAGAAUGGUGGACAGCAACACUCCCUGCACAAACUUGCACCUCUGAGACUUCUCCUCUUGGUCCUUGUCUGACAGCCGGAACUGUUGGACUUUUCUUUCCCGGAACUCCUCAGUCGUGCUCCCAUUCUUCCCUAAGCCUGCUUCAACUGAAGAAUUAGGCUGUAUGUUCAGAGGUUCAUCCAGAGAAGGUGGAUUAAAUAUAAAUGAUGAAAGCAAUGGAUCUGGUUCUGAGUUGGAGGAAGAAACAACGCAUGAAGAACCACCCAGAAGGGUUUGUAAGCUUCCUUCUCGCAGCUCUUUUCUCAAUAGUGAAAAUGCCGAAUUAGAUCCUCCCUUGCGCAAUCUCCUUUUCUGCUGCACCUUAAAGAAGUUGCCAUGUUGC
RNAcentral lists this unclassified non-coding RNA (505 nucleotides) under Hevea brasiliensis (rubber tree). Lineage: Eukaryota; Viridiplantae; Streptophyta; Magnoliopsida; Malpighiales; Euphorbiaceae. The record is from RNAcentral.